Molecule: long non-coding RNA, 5813 nt
Organism: Motacilla alba alba
Lineage: Eukaryota; Metazoa; Chordata; Aves; Passeriformes; Motacillidae
Exons: 5
Source: RefSeq, a predicted model, not a curated record
ACUUCAUACUGUUCAUUAAUGUCUCCAUGCUGCUGACCUAGAGAGCAGAAGAGAUAAUUAUUAGGUGUUUUCAGCACCAUUUCCCACUGAAAUUAGUUUGCCAUACCGGAAGCAGAAAACAAGCACUGCAAACCAGGAUUUCUGUCCUUAAUCACACUCAACCAUAAAGAGAGGCAGCAAAUGUGUAACUACAAAAGUGUUGCUUGUGCUGCUGGUGCCACUGCACGUCCCCUGCCUGAGGACAAGCUGUGGUAACAGGAUAGCCUGGCCACGUCAGGAGUCAUCCAGUUCAAAGGAAAAGCCUUAAGGAGAUGAAGAACUGGAGAGCAAAUAACAAUCAGAGAAGCUGUGAAGCAACAGAGUCUUGUGAGUCUGUCAGAACAUUUUAUAACAUUGAAGGCCAAACCCAGAUAAUCUGCAUCAGCAAGGCAACCACGUGGCAUGUCCUGGUAAAAGGAAAGAGAGGCUCCCUUUAAGCCCCUGAGUUGAAAACUGAAGGACUGGAAGAAUCUAAAUGAAGCUGCAGCAUGGGAUGAACACCUUCUCUCUUCCAUGGGCUAUCAAAGCAGGAGGCAGUCAAUGCUUUAGCAAGUGCCAAAGGCCGGAGGCUUCCUUAGCAGACUCAUUGGAAAUACUGAGGAUUGAAAAAGCAAGUGAACAAAGACACAAGAAGAAUUUGGUUUUGAACAGCCCAUAUGUAAUUUACACAAAUAGCAUUUAUGGACAAGUUAGAAUUGUCUGUUUGCAAGUAGAUAGUUUUGCUUUUUAUUUCUGGAAAAAAGUCAACAGUUGGCAAAAAUCAUUUGAUUAAUUCAUUCUUUAGACACAGUACCUUCAUUCCAGUGUUACUCCCAUAGCUUUCAAGUUAAACCACACAUCUUUCAUUUUCAUAUACAAUAUCUUAAGUGUUUUGCAUAUUUUUUGUUAAAAAAAUUACUAGUCUUUCAAAGCCACAUGUUAACAGCAUAUUCAAGUGUGUGUGCACUGACUCUAAUGAUUCUAGGAAAUAUUUCAGCCAAAAAAGAAGUAUUUUUCUGUUUACAUGGUGUUAUCCAAGUGAAGUUAUUGGGAUGACUCAGAUUUUUGUAUUAUUAUCUUUUGAGAGAGUUAUGGAUGUCAAUUCAAGGUGCUUGUACACUGGAAAACUGAGAGCAUAGAUUCAGACUGAGGUCACACAUAUGGGCACUUUGCUUAGAGGAAGAGCCAGCAAGAAGUUAUUAGCCAGCAGCAAGACUAUGCUGCGUAGGUGGACCACAGAACUUUCUCUGGGAGCAUUUUCUCAAGUUGCUUCAUUGGGAGUUACUUGGAGUUACAAAACCACAGUUUGCUCUAAUGUUUCAUACUUGUCAAAAAAGGCUAAUGAGGUGACUACUAUAGAAUCUUUCACUACUAUUCACCUAGUUCAAAAUAUGAUCUGCCUUAUUGAAUUAUUAAGGUGGUUCUAAGGGGUUCUGACUAAGUGACUGGAAACUCAGCAGUCAGUCUGGCUUUGUGUGAUCUGCUAGUCUUUUCCUCCACAGUCUGCCAUUCACACUCCUCUUUCAGCCCCUCAGGAGUGAAGAGAUGGUUGGCUGAACUUAGCAUCUUACAAGUGUGCUUAGGCACUGGAGCAUGCUUAUGUGAAUCUGACAUGGUGAGCUAGUGGAAAAAUGCAGCUGGUUUAGCAAUCACAACAAAAUAAUCUUUGAAGCCAAUCAUGCUGAUCCUCUAGGCUCCUGUUUCCAGAGGAUCCCAACUAGAGGGUGUGCAACAAAACCAAAGCACAUCUCCAUGCCAGGAUGCAAAGCAGAACAUCCUAAUAUGGGUCGGUACAUCCACCACCUCAUGACAGAGCUGGAGCUCUCACUGCUUUAAGGUGUGUACCCUUUUAUCUACCAAACAGCUACUCUGAUUAGACAUUCUACCUUGUGCUGUGAUCUUCAUUUACUUAAUAGUCUCCAGAUGUAUUUUCACAUUUUCCUUGAAGCAUUUGUGAGAAGGAAGGGGUAAUAUAACCAACUUUAAAGGCAAAAUUUGGAGUGAAACAUUAUGAAGAAAAUUUUAUUUUUCAGAUCUGACGGGUAAGACAGACUAUCUUACCUUAAACAGACACUCACUCUUGUUAAAACCUGUGUAGCACACCAUUACCAAACCUUGGCAUGGAUAAUUAGGGAAGAGCUACUCCAAACACAUGAAUUCAGCUGAAAUAAUGUCCUGAGAUCAUUUAACUACAUUUCUAUAUGAAACUAAGCACAUCUCUUAGUCUCUUCAGGGCUUGGGAUAGAAGUCCAACUUUAGAUUUUUCAUUUUUCUCCCAUUAACAGUGGCUAAGCCAGAAGGCACAUAGACUUACAUUCUGAAAUUCACCUGACAAUACUGGCAGCUCAAGACUAAACAUGAUUCUGCUUGAAAGCUGAUGAGCUUCUACACUUCUUUACUCAGAUUUGUGUAAGAUAGGAAAAGAUAUUUACCUCAAGGCUCAGUAUUCACUAAGAAUAAAAAAAAUGGAAUAGGAGUUGCCAUUUAUCAGAAAAUUAAAUUCUUUCUUCCAGCUGAUGGGUUGACAAUAAUCAUGGAUUCUUCUUUCUUGUUUUCAUAUUGCAUAAGAUUCUUCUUUUUUCACAUUAUAUAGAGGCUUAACUUUCUCUGUAUUUUCAAAUACUUUGAGGACUCUCUUGAAAAGAGAGGUGGCAUUUAUUAUGAAAUAAUGUACAUAAAUAGAGGGGCUGGGAAGAGCUGAUCAUGACUUAAAAGUAGAUCUCAUGGUACCGUGGAAAGGCCUGGUUCUGCAAUUGGAAGAGGACUCCUCUGUUUCCUGUUUAAGUCCAGGUAUACUUCCUAUCCAUGUAUGCUCCCUGUGGUCUGAGGCCUCCAGGGUGCUGCUUUAAGCAAGAAGCCAAACAAAGUGACCUGCAACACCCCUUCUGACCACCAGCUCUGCGACCUUGUCUCUCAUUUCUAUCAUAUUAUUCCUUACCCUCUUCACCCCACCCAAGCUUCUAUGGCAGAUAUUUAAUUUUUAAAUUGUCCUAGAGCAAUUUCCUUUGUCUGCUUGCAACUUUUAUCAUCUUGCAACUAAUAUCAUCACACAUGUCCAGUGUGCCAGUAUGUCAUAAACUGGCUGCUCAGCAAGAAUAGCAGCAGUGAUCUGCACUAAGGUUCUGUUCAUGAGAGAAGACCAGAAGGCAUACACAGGAAAGAAAUUUAAGAGGCCAAAAAAAGAGGUCUGCUAUAAUUCAUGAGGGAUCUCGUGCAGUCCACCUGCUCUUCCUAGCAGAAGCCUAAGGAAUGAUAUGACAACAGCCAGCCAACAUUAAGACAUCAUGAAGUAACUAAGGUCAAGAGGCAUUUAUGAUGACAUCUGUUAUUAUGAGAAACUGUCUAACUAGAAUAAUCUCACUUAGAUAAGAGUGUCUAUGCCAUGAAAACUGAUCUGACAGCAAUCCCAGUUACUGUCAAGAAUGUCACCAUAAGCCUGUGCAAUAAAAAAUGUAACUUAGCAGUCACUGUCCUCCCUGCUCCAGAGGUGACCAGUGUAAAUCAAGAGCUUACUGUAUCACAGAUGAGCUGAGUGACUUUAAUGAGAAAUCUCGUUCUUAUGGAUUACCGUUCCCCUGCCACAUCUUGUCAGCAAUUCUUCAGAAAAUUAUUCUACCAUUCCCAAUUGCAAGGAAACAGAUGGCACAUGGAGGGAACCUCUCUGAUGUGUAAUGUCUUGGAAAAACAAGAAUAAAUAAAUUAAAGACCAGAGGCCAACACUAAAAUUGUCUUCUAUCAAAAUACAGCUUAACUCAGUGUCUUGGGUUUGCGUGUCAAGGUUUUGGUAGCUAUGGCUACCAGUGACAGAGUCUGCAGGGGUGGCUCCAUGAGGAGCUGCCAGGAUCUUCUCCCUUACCUGCCAUGCCAGCCAGCUUCAAGAUGGACCCACUCCUGGCCAACCCCAAGCCCAUCAGCCAUGGUGGUAGCACCUCUGGGAUAACAAAUUUGAGAAGAAAAACUGCAGCAGCAACUGCAGGCAGAGAGAGGAACGAGAAUAUGUGAAAGAAACAACCCUGACACAAGAGUUGUGGAAAAGGAGGUGGAGGAGAUGCUCCAGGUGUCAGAGCUGAGCUUCUCCAGCAGCCUGUGGUGACCGGCUGUCCCCCUACAGUCCAUGGAGCUCCAUGGUGAAACAGCCCUUGGAGGACCCCAGGUCAGAGCAAGGGGAUGCCCAGAGGAGGCUGUGACCCCAUAGGAAGCCCAUGCUGGGGGAGGUUCCUGGCAGGACCCGUGGCUCCAUGGAGAAAGGAGCCGACCCUGGAUUAGGUUUGCUGCUAGGACUUGUGACCCCGUAGGGGACCCAUGCUGGAGCAGGGGAAGAGUGUGAGGAGUUGUCCCCCUGAGAAGGAAGAAGCAGCAGAAGCAAUGUGUAACGAGUUGACCACAACCCCCAUUACCUAUCCCACUCUGCCACUGGGGCAGCAGUAGAUUAGAAAAUUCAGAGAUGAAGCUGACGUGAGGAUGAAGGGAGGGAUGGGGAAGAGGUGAUAACAGAUUCAGGUUCUAUUUAUCAUUAUCCUGCUCUGGUUUGAUUGGUAAUCAAUUAAAAUUAUUUCCCAAGUCAAGUCUGUUUUGCCUGUGUCAGUAACUGCUGAGAGAUCUCUCCCCACAUCUUGACCCAUGUGUGUUUCAUUAUAUUUUCUGAGGGGAGGAUAGAGCAGCUUUGGUGGGCUCCUGGUAUCCAGCCUGGGUCAACUUCACACGCUAGGCUGCGUGUGAGUAAUAAUUUUCUAUUUAGCACUUAGAUAGGGCAGUCAUUGUUUGAUCCACAUUUAGAUGAUUGCUGCAGCAGCUGUCUAAGCAAUAUAUGCUGCUUUCACAAUGUGGAACAACAUCAAUAGAACAAUCUACAGUAAGGUAUAGAAACAGAUGAAACAAUAUUAACAGGAAUAUAUGAAUUUUCUCGGAUUUUUAAGUAUCUGAACAAAUACCAGAGCAUCUAUAUUUCAGUCAAAAUUUAUACAUAGGCAUAUUGCAUAUGCAUCUAUACAUAUGAAAUCCAUCCAUGAGAUCAUAAAUACUCAGUAAAGCAUAUUUAUAACCACUCUUGCUAGCUCAAUGAAUGCUAAACUUUGAGAAGUAAAUAGAGUAUGUUACAAAACUAAUAUCUUAGUAGCAGGGAAUUGAUACCAAAUGUAUUCUUCAUUUUUUUCCAUGCUUCUCAGCUGUGUAACAGAAGAAAGAUGGGAAAAUUUUCCUAAAGGCAAGAGUUAUACACAAAAUUGCAAAUAACAUCUUUAGCAACUUACAGCUGGGUAAUAAGUAGAGAAACAGCAUUUUUUCUUAUUGAGGUAUUAUGGGAAAGUUCAGUUCUUUUGUACAACUACAGAGUGGCUUCCUUAGAGAAGAAAUUAAUUCAAACAUACUUGGCACAGUUUUAAACAAUCACUACUUCUGCAAGCUGCACCAAGAAAAACCUCUGAGUAAAGCACUGCAUAGAUAUGUAACGCAUGAACACUCUAUUAAAGCCAUCAAAAAUGUGCCACUUCUAGUAAGCUCCUGGAACUGUUUCUCUACUAGCAUAUGAUUUCUUUGAUCAAAAGAACAGUGCUGUGGAAGGAGACUGGGUACUAUUACAGGAUAAGUAAUAAUUCAGGGGAUGCCCUAAGAACCUGCACCACGGGCAGUUAUGUAGCUGGCGUUUGGUUGUUCUGAAAAAGUCUGCACUCCUGUAGAUAAUGAAAGCAAAUCAAGUACUGCUGCAAUCUUGCAGACCUUCAUUCCCUCUCCAGGGACUCUCCUGGAGCACGUAAAAUUGGGAUAAAUAUCUGAUUUUCCAGAUAGAGGUAUUUCUC